RNAcentral lists this ribosomal RNA (253 nucleotides) under uncultured bacterium. RNAcentral describes it as "partial 16S ribosomal RNA". It matches the Rfam family "Bacterial small subunit ribosomal RNA", at positions 524 to 776 of the family's 1533-position model. The record is from RNAcentral.
UACGAAGGGGGCUAGCGUUGCUCGGAAUCACUGGGCGUAAAGGGUGCGUAGGCGGGUUUUUAAGUCAGAGGUGAAAUCCUGGAGCUCAACUCCAGAACUGCCUUUGAUACUGAAAGUCUUGAGUAUGGGAGAGGUGAGUGGAACUGCGAGUGUAGAGGUGAAAUUCGUAGAUAUUCGCAAGAACACCAGUGGCGAAGGCGGCUCACUGGCCCAUUACUGACGCUGAGGCACGAAAGGAUUGGUAGCAAAGCGG